GCCCGUUGGUCAAGUGGUUAAGACACCGCCCUUUCACGGCGGUAACACGGGUUCGAAUCCCGUACGGGUCACCA
RNAcentral lists this transfer RNA (74 nucleotides) under Bacillus cereus. RNAcentral describes it as "tRNA-Glu". It matches the Rfam family "tRNA". From Rfam's summary of the family: Transfer RNA (tRNA) molecules are approximately 80 nucleotides in length. Their secondary structure includes four short double-helical elements and three loops (D, anti-codon, and T loops). The record is from RNAcentral. RNAcentral also lists the same sequence under 3 other names. Lineage: Bacteria; Bacillati; Bacillota; Bacilli; Caryophanales; Bacillaceae.